This is a long non-coding RNA of Homo sapiens (human), 1334 nucleotides long. The record is from Ensembl. NCBI's taxonomy places the organism in Eukaryota, Metazoa, Chordata, Mammalia, Primates, Hominidae.
AGACCAGAAAUACAAGCAAGAAUAAGAAAGACACAAAUAUUUUAGAACUAAAUGAGAGGCUGUUUUCUGCAUUCCUUGGCUCAUGGCCCCUUCCAUCUUCAAAGCCAGCAAUGACAAGUUGAGUCUUUCUCAGGUCGCACUACUGACUCUUCUGCCUCCCUCUUCCAUAUCUGAGACACAACCGGAUAAUUUAGGAUAACCUCCUUAUUUUAAGAGAGACCUGUGUGGUUCGAUGCAUUCUCUGACGUUAUUCUGAGAAGAAACAAUUAAAUGCAUACUGGAAGACAUUUUGCUCUUCUACAUGUUGGAAAUUCGGUGUCACCAAUGCACAGCUGCAGAAUGCACAGUUCUAUUGUUUUCUUUCUCAUCACAGAUCUGACCCCUCACCAUCUUCCCCCGCCCUUGAGCCUGAUCCUUUUCUGACUUUGAGCCUGGCACCUUGCUGGUGCCGGCAGGCAUCAUGAAGGCAUGGGCUGGGAGCCAGACUCAGCCUUGCAAAGGAGGCUCAGGGAAGCCGACUGACAUGGGCUCAAUAAUUAGUUCAAUGCCGGACACAAUGCUCAAUAAGGAGCUGCUGGGUUAAUGGAUGUGUGUGCUAGCUAGCUGUAGUAAACAAUUCAAGUUGAUAACAUGGGGCUGAUUGUCUGAACAGUACAAAAGAAAAUGGAGGACUGACCAGCUCUUUGGUCCUCCAAGGUCAAUACAACAUUUAAAGCCUUCUUAUAGAGAUAUACAAGUUUUGUUCAUUUUUAAUAUUCAUGUCAAUAAUUUAAGCAAUGUGAAAACUUAAACAUUCUCAAGCAUUUAUUUAUUUUUUUUGGUAGAGACCAGGUCUCACUCUGCUUCCCAGCCUGUAGGGCAGUGGCAUGAUCCUAGCUCACUAUAACCUUGAACUCCUGGGCUCAAACAAUCCCUGCUGUCUCAGCCUCCUGAACAGCUUGGACUAUAGGUGCACGACACCAUGCCCGGCUAAUUUUUUUAUUUUUAUUAUUGUAGAGAUAGGGUCUUGUUAUGUUUCCCAGGCUUGUCAUUUUAUGUAUUGUCUUGAAUAAUAAAAGAAACUUGGACAGAGAAUAGCAGGUAGCAAAUUUUCAGAUGUAGAUUUAGGAUAAUACAAAAUUUUAUAAUGUGAAGUACCUCAGUACCAAAAUCUUAGCUAUUUAUAAUAUGAUAGCCCUUGAUGUAGAGCUAACUUAAAUUCAACAUUUCCAUGACUAAAUAAUUUGUGGGCUCUAAAAUAUUCUCAAAAUUCCUAGAGUUAGCAUUUCUUAAUUGAUUUCUUUAGCCUUUUUCACAUUCAACUAUAUUAUAAAUACAAAAUGAAUCCAUUAACA